This is a long non-coding RNA of Numida meleagris (helmeted guineafowl), 4456 nucleotides long. RefSeq lists it as uncharacterized. NCBI's taxonomy places the organism in Eukaryota, Metazoa, Chordata, Aves, Galliformes, Numididae. The transcript is spliced from 2 exons. The record is from RefSeq and is a predicted model, not a curated record.
UGCAUUAGUGGUUCUGUGAUUCUAUGAUUCCAUUUGAAGCUACAGAUUGACCAUGGCCAGAAACUCUCAUUCUGAGUUUCUCUGUAACCUCAGCAAGCUGUACAAAAUAUAUACACAUACAUAGGGAUACAUACAAAAAAUCUUUUUUUAUAUAUAAAUAAUGCCUGUUCUGUUGCACAGUGUGCACUCUGUCAGUGUUCCACUGGACGUUCUUUAUGCAUGGGACGUGGGAUGGGCAGAGCAGCAGCAGGGAGGUGUUUGCUUCUCAGACAAUUCCUCCACCCCUCAUCAGGACUUGCUGCUCAUUUCCCCCCUGUCAGUACCUCCUGCUCAGCACUGAAUUGGGUCUUUAGAAACAUACCAAGCCUGAGUGGGGGCCCUGCGAAAUAAGGAGAUGCAGACAUCCCUCCUUCCCAUAGAUGAAUCAACAUCCAUCCAUCCAUAGGUGAUGAAGCAGAAUUGCAUUUAGCUCUGUUCAGAUGUCUUGGAGGUGAGUUUGAAGCCGCCUGUGGCAGGGGUGAGCCCCAGGGGGUGAUCCCAGCCCGAAGCCUUGGGACAAGAGCAGGCAUGCAAACAGGAUGCUGAGGGCUUAUCCUAAACGCAUGGAAGUUACAAAACACUUUCUGACUUUCAAGAGUGAUUCAUGGUAUUUACUAUUUUGGGCAGAUCUUUUUGAUGUCAUCAGCAUGGUUCUGCAACAGAUUCUACUCCCCAAACCUUUGGCCAGAUGUUGAAACACCAAACACAUCUGAUCCAUGAUCUCCUUUGCCUCCUCUCUCCCUGAACAUGAUGUUAACUUCUCUCUGGUUUCAGACAGUGGAAGCGCUCAGCAAUUGGGAUGAGUGCCAACUCAGCAUGCUGCUGGCAGCUGCGCUGUGGGAUGCUGCUGGUGCUCUGCUGCCUGCAGGCACUGCUCACUGCUGGGUGCUUCUUGCAGGCACUGCACCAGCCUGGCCUGAGCACCGUGUUCAGCAUCACCACAAAGCACAGCCCUCACGGCUGACAUCGGAUUAAAUCAGAGACAAGGUAACAGUCAGGUUUAGCUGGAUCUAAUGUAAAGUUUUAGCACAAUAUGGAUGAAAAACACUGGAACUGGACAGUAAAUGUGUCCCGGCCAUGUGGCACCGAGGCCUCACACCAGGAGAGCUGUGGAGUGUGUGGGAGGAGCCAGUGCUGAUCCCAAAUGCAUCCCUGUGGUGCCGCUGUCCUGAUGUACUCAUUGGGAACAUAGUCCAAUGGCAGCGUUCAUAAUGGAGUACCCCUUUGCAGGGCUGUACAAACACAUGGUUCCCACCACGAGCUCCCAGCAGCAGCGCAUGGCACAGCCUCAUUAGCCGCUGCCCCUGCUCCCUGCACCGCCACAGGCAGCGUUCGGGCCAGAGGCAGCACGGGGCGGCCGGCAGCACCAGGGUUAUGGUGCUGCCAAACAUGCCAGUGCCCAUAGGAGAGGAGGCACAGUGCACACAGAUGUGUUUGCAUAGCAGAGGAGGAAUGGGAACAUCUCCAUUAUUAGGGAGGAUUGUUUCCCAACACAGCCUUCCUGCAGCUCAGCAACCCCCCCCGUGCAGCAGGCAGACAUCACUGGCACUUCCCAGCGACACACCUCCCAGUUGGGAGCGUGUUCCCGUCAGGCCGGUUUCAGGCUCUCCCCACUUUCCAUCACCCCACCCUGACGCUGCAGUUGAUAGCACUGCACAUGCGCUAACCAGGGCCUCUCUCUGCGCCGUCACUCUGCUCGGGAGUGUCCAAGAAUUCCCCGCGUGACUCAGGUGUGACCUCCCCGCUGGGAGCCAGGCUCUGCCACCCCUGAGCUGUGAUUUUCCAUUUCCCCUCUGUGUGGUGUAGCACUGUGACCCCUCCUGCCCUGGCAGCGCAGUGUGCUCUCCACGGCCCCAGCCCGCGUGGCUGUGCAGGGCAGUGUUCCUGCAGCAGCACCCCUGAGUGAGAUCUGCAAGCACCCUAGUGUUCCUGCCCAGGGAGGCAGAAAACGUGGAAGAGAAACCUUGAAGGCCACAACACUUGCAUGCUGCAGCCCUGGGGCCCUGCUGGAAGGGACUCUGCAUCUCUUUGAGGUCCCACGCGUGAGAGGGGUGAAACAAAGCUCGGAAUAUUGCAGCUCAGAGUGCCACUGAGCACACUGCACCAUCCCCACACACUGCACUGGGAGCACGCUGCUCCAUCCCUGCACAGUGAGGGUCCCACUGCUGCCAGGCGCUGCACAGUGUGCACUGUGCUCACGUGGGCCCUGGGAUCUGGGGUUUAUUUUUAGACUGUUGGUUCUCCUCCUGCUGCAGUCUCCCCUGGCUCAACCUGUUGGUGCACUGCUCUGACACCAGCGAUAGGCACAGAAAUCAUCGGUUACACAAACACAAACCCUGACACGGCAACAGCGGGGGAACGUGGCACGAAGGGAACUAUUUAUAGCAGAGAUAAUGAAGUAAAGGCUUCUGCUGAGCCGAUAGAAGCGGAAAAAAAGUGAAACAGAGCUCAGACAGAGCCCUGCAGCGCCGUCCUCACCCGGGCUGGGAGCUCCGGGCAUGGAGCAGCGCCGGCGCCCUGGUACCAGCGGGAACGGGGACGCUGCGGCCACAGGUGGCAGCGAUGUGCCUGGGAACCCCGCAGGUGGUGCGGCUGACUCGGAGAGACAUCAAAGCAGGAUCCUGCAGAAGAGAACUUCCUCAUCUGCACAGAGAAAAAGGAAAUCACUCACUUAGUGGAAAGGAUGCAGACAUACCAAAGGGAAACAUUUCCAUAUUCUUUUUAUAGCUCUGAAAAAGGACUUAAAAGAUUGCAUUCCCUAAAGUCUAUUUUCAUUGCAGAGGAAUGGAGCUUUGGGCCCUUCCGCACAGCCAACCUGUUCUCUGGCCCUAUCAAUAAGAACAUUGAUAGAAUGAAUGGAAAAUCAUUUUGUUGUUCACAAUAUUGUACCGUACUGUUCGAAAAGAGAGGAAGGGACCAGGAGGAAACAAAGGACAGGCAGAGAGCCCAGCACAAACAUCGGAGAUCUCCCGAGCACCCAGCCAGCUCUGCGUGUCCUGUGACCGAUCCCGAAGAGCUCCGGGUGGAGCACCAGGGCACAUCGCUCCACCACAGACACCCUACAGAACUUCGGCCAGAUGGAUCUCCAGAGGAAACCUCGAGUUAAUGACAUGAAUGACAAACAAUGUGCGCACAAUAGGUCUGCAUACAGAGCCAUCCUGCUCACACCUGCCGCUGGCUGUGUUGGCGCUCCGCUGCAGGGCCUUCCCACAGGCACCAGUGGGUUCUGCCAAGCACGCUGCGUGCCGGGGGCUGCCAGACAGGCUCCAGCUCUGAAGUCAGCACCAAGUAAAGCUCUCAUCACAGCUGCAGGGAAGACAAAAAGCCCCCGGGGCCUACCCAAGGAUGGGAGGAGUGAGGCCGAGCAAUUCCUUCACUUCACUACAUCUGUGAAGGAGCAGCGAGGGAGCCAGGGCUGCACGGGGCUUCUCACUGCCCCACUGGUGGUGGCAGAGCAGCGAAACCAUCAGACGUGGUUCCUUUUCCUGGGGCUAAGAACAAGCCUGUUGCCCAUGGGGUUUGCUGGAGAUUUUCCUACCCUCAGCUGUUAUCCAACACAGUUGAGAAGAUACAGCCUGUGGAACCGCUGGGCAGCUCAGAGACAUUCCUGCCCCUCGGUAGCGCAGGGCUCUGCGGACUGCCAGCCCCUGGGAAUGCCCACCCACGGACACGGGCUGCCCUGGGAGCAGCAGUGCCCCCCAGCACAGGUGCUGGGCCCCGCAGAGAUGCUCCCCUGGCUUUUGCUUCCCCACAGCCAGCACAUUCCCAGCCGCACUGCCACAGUCACGCCAGGAGCCCUGCAUGGCACUGAGGGGACAGCUCGCGUUGUAUGGCAUAUCUACUGGUGAUAGCUGCCAGUUGGCCUCACAGGGAGCACCGGGUGUCCACACAGAGCUGGCAGAGCCACACGGCCAUGGCUGCGCAUGGCCACAGACUGAUCAGUCACAGGUUUCCUUCUAUCCCAGCCAAGCUAUUUGUUUAAAUCUUCUGCAGAAGUGAAUUCCAGAGAGAUACAAUGCACUGGGGACAGAACAUUUACUGGUUCCAAAUGUACUGACCUUCCAGUCUGCACUUGGCUGCUUGAAAAGCACUGGUGUUAAUUAUUAUUAUUACUGCAUCAAAGGAAAAGCGCUCAAUUUUAACCAUUAGAUUUAACUAAGAAAGAAGAGUAACUCAAAACCUUGAAAAGUUGCAUGGAAUUCCAUUGUGAGCCUUUCAAAAAUUAGAAGAAAAAUCUGCUUAAGAACAUGUCAUCCUACCCGAGCGUGCUCUGAUCUUUUAGUUCAAUUGAUUUCUCCUUGGAAAUCAAUAGAUGUCUAAGAAAAAAUAUCAGCGUGCCACACAUGGAAUUAUAUUUUCAUCAUGUAAUGCAGAAACGUGAAUAAAAGCAUCUAUCAAGCCAAGUGGAAAAUUUUAA